RNAcentral lists this ribosomal RNA (429 nucleotides) under Chloroflexota bacterium. RNAcentral describes it as "Chloroflexi bacterium partial 16S ribosomal RNA". It matches the Rfam family "Bacterial small subunit ribosomal RNA", at positions 355 to 776 of the family's 1533-position model. The record is from RNAcentral. Lineage: Bacteria; Bacillati; Chloroflexota.
UGGGGAAUAUUGCACAAUGGGCGCAAGCCUGAUGCAGCCAUGCCGCGUGUGUGAAGAAGGCCUUCGGGUUGUAAAGCACUUUCAGCGGGGAGGAAGGCGAUAAGGUUAAUAACCUUGUCGAUUGACGUUACCCGCAGAAGAAGCACCGGCUAACUCCGUGCCAGCAGCCGCGGUAAUACGGAGGGUGCAAGCGUUAAUCGGAAUUACUGGGCGUAAAGCGCACGCAGGCGGUUGAUUGAGUCAGAUGUGAAAUCCCCGGGCUUAACCCGGGAAUUGCAUCUGAUACUGGUCAGCUAGAGUCUUGUAGAGGGGGGUAGAAUUCCAUGUGUAGCGGUGAAAUGCGUAGAGAUCUGGAGGAAUACCGGUGGCGAAGGCGGCCCCCUGGACAAAGACUGACGCUCAGGUGCGAAAGCGUGGGGAGCAAACAGG